CCUACGGGUGGCAGCAGUCGAGAAUCAUUCACAAUGGGGGAAACCCUGAUGGUGCGACGCCGCGUGGGGGAAUGAAGGUCUUCGGAUUGUAAACCCCUGUCAUGUGGGAGCAAAUAAAAAAGAUAGUACCACAUGAGGAAGAGACGGCUAACACUGUGCCAGCAGCCGCGGUAAUACAGAGGUCUCAAGCGUUGUUCGGAAUCACUGGGCGUAAAGCGUGCGUAGGCUGUUUCGUAAGUCGUGUGUGAAAGGCGCGGGCUCAACCCGCGGACGGCCCAUGAUACUGCGAGACUAGAGUAAUGGAGGGGGAACCGGAAUUCUCGGUGUAGCAGUGAAAUGCGUAGAUAUCGAGAGGAACACUCGUGGCGAAGGCGGGUUCCUGGACAUUAACUGACGCUGAGGCACGAAGGCCAGGGGAGCGAAAGGGAUUAGAUACCCUUGUAGUC
RNAcentral lists this ribosomal RNA (446 nucleotides) under uncultured bacterium. RNAcentral's name for it is "partial 16S ribosomal RNA". It matches the Rfam family "Bacterial small subunit ribosomal RNA", at positions 338 to 795 of the family's 1533-position model. The record is from RNAcentral.